GAACGCUGGCGGCGUGCUUAACAUCAUGCAAGUCCGAACGGAAAGGCCUUUUCGGAGGUGCUCGAGUGGCGAACGGGUGAGUAACACGUGGGUGAUCUGCCCUGCACUCUGGGAUAAGCCUGGGAAACUGGGUCUAAUACCGGAUAGGACCGCACUUUAGUGUGUGUGGUGGAAAGUUUUUUCGGUGUAGGAUGAGCCCGCGGCCUAUCAGCUUGUUGGUGGGGUAAUGGCCUACCAAGGCGGCGACGGGUAGCCGGACUGAGAGGUUGGUCGGCCACAUUGGGACUGAGAUACUGCCCAGACUCCUACGGGAGGCAGCAGUGGGGAAUGUUGCACAAUGGGCGCAAGCCUGAUGCAGCGACGCCGCGUGGGGGAUGACGGCCUUCGGGUUGUAAACUCCUUUCGCCAGGGACGAAGCGUUUUGUGACGGUACCUGGAGAAGAAGCACCGGCUAACUACGUGCCAGCAGCCGCGGUAAUACGUAGGGUGCAAGCGUUGUCCGGAAUUACUGGGCGUAAAGAGCUCGUAGGUGGUUUGUCACGUCGUCUGUGAAAUUCCACAGCUUAACUGCGGGCGUGCAGGCGAUACGGGCUGACUUGAGUACUGUAGGGGUAACUGGAAUUCCUGGUGUAGCGGUGAAAUGCGCAGAUAUCAGGAGGAACACCGAUGGCGAAGGCAGGUUACUGGGCAGUUACUGACGCUGAGGAGCGAAAGCAUGGGUAGCAAACAGGAUUAGAUACCCUGGUAGUCCAUGCCGUAAACGGUGGGCGCUAGGUGUAGGGGCCUUUUGGGGUUUCUGUGCCGUAGCUAACGCAUUAAGCGCCCCGCCUGGGGAGUACGGCCGCAAGGCUA
RNAcentral lists this ribosomal RNA (852 nucleotides) under uncultured bacterium. Its description in RNAcentral is "bacterial SSU rRNA". It matches the Rfam family "Bacterial small subunit ribosomal RNA", at positions 31 to 896 of the family's 1533-position model. The record is from RNAcentral.